RNAcentral lists this ribosomal RNA (1715 nucleotides) under human oral metagenome. RNAcentral's name for it is "bacterial LSU rRNA". It matches the Rfam family "Bacterial large subunit ribosomal RNA", at positions 1118 to 2814 of the family's 2925-position model. The record is from RNAcentral.
ACCAUUUAAAGAGUGCGUAAUAGCUCACUGGUCGAGAGACUCUGCGCCGAAAAUGUCCGGGGCUAAAGUGUAAAACCGAAGUCGUGUCAUAUGCAGCAAUGUAUAUGGGUAGGGGAGCGUUCUCAUCGGGCUGAAGCAGUACCGUAAGGAGUUGUGGACUGAUGAGAAGUGAGAAUGUCGGUAUGAGUAGCGAAAAGAAUGGUGAGAAUCCAUUCCACCGAAAGCCUAAGGGUUCCUGAGCAACGAUCGUCGUCUCAGGGUAAGUCGGGACCUAAGCCGAGGCGGAAAAGCGUAGGCGAUGGACAACAGGUUGAAAUUCCUGUACCGGUGUGAAUCGUUUGAUCGAUGGAGUGACACAGUAAGGUAGGUCAGCACGCGAUUGGAAGUGCGUGUUUAAGCAUGUAGGUUGAGCUAUAGGCAAAUCCGUAGCUCUAAAAGCUGAGAUGUGAUGACGAGUUACUAGCGAUAGUAACGAAGUGAUUGAUCCUACACUGUCGAGAAAAGCUUCUAGGUAGAGACACAUCGCCCGUACCAAAACCGACACAGGUAGGCGGGGAGAGAAUCCUAAGGUGCGCGGGAAAACCCUCGUUAAGGAACUCGGCAAAAUGCCUCCGUAACUUCGGGAAAAGGAGGACUCAUGUAGUGUGAAGUGCAGCAACGCAUGGAGCAUGAAUGAGUGGCACAAGAGAGGCGCAAGCGACUGUUUACCACAAACACAGGUGCCUGCUAAAGCGAAAGCUGAUGUAUAGGUGCUGACACCUGCCCGGUGCUGGAAGGUUAAGAGGAGGGGUUAGACUUCGGUCGAAGCUCUGAAUUGAAGCCCCAGUAAACGGCGGCCGUAACUAUAACGGUCCUAAGGUAGCGAAAUUCCUUGUCGGGUAAGUUCCGACCCGCACGAAAGGCGUAAUGAUUUGGGCACUGUCUCAACGAGGGGCCCGGUGAAAUUGAAAUACCUGUGAAGAUGCAGGUUACCCGCGACUGGACAGAAAGACCCCAUGGAGCUUUACUGCAACCUAAGAUUGAACUUAGUUAAUGAAUGUACAGGAUAGGUGGGAGACGUAGAAUCUAGGACGCCAGUUUUAGAGGAGUCGUUGUUGGGAUACCACCCUUUCAUUAAUUGAUUUCUAACGGGCCGAGUAACGACCGGCCGGACAGUCUUAGGCGGGCAGUUUGACUGGGGCGGUCGCCUCCUAAAGAGUAACGGAGGCGCCCAAAGGUUCCCUCAGAGCGGACGGAAAUCGCUCGAAGAGUGUAAAGGCAGAAGGGAGCUUGACUGCGAGACGGACAGGUCGAGCAGGGACGAAAGUCGGGCUUAGUGAUCCGGUGGUGCCGAGUGGAAGGGCCAUCGCUCAACGGAUAAAAGCUACCCUGGGGAUAACAGGCUAAUCUCUCCCAAGAGUCCAUAUCGACGGGGAGGUUUGGCACCUCGAUGUCGGCUCAUCACAUCCUGGGGCUGAAGUAGGUCCCAAGGGUUCGGCUGUUCGCCGAUUAAAGUGGUACGUGAGCUGGGUUCAGAACGUCGUGAGACAGUUCGGUCCCUAUCCAUCGCGGGCGCAAGAAACUUGAAGGGGGCUGCUCCUAGUACGAGAGGACCGGAGUGGACGAACCGCUGGUGUACCAAUUAUCCUGCCAAGGGUACAGUUGGGUAGCUACGUUCGGGACGGAUAAACGCUGAAAGCAUCUAAGCGUGAAACCAGCCUUGAGAUGAGGUUUCU